Molecule: ribosomal RNA, 499 nt
Filed under: uncultured bacterium
Lineage: Bacteria
Description: partial 16S ribosomal RNA
Rfam family: Bacterial small subunit ribosomal RNA
Source: RNAcentral
GACGAACGCUGGCGGCGUGCCUAAUACAUGCAAGUCGAGCGAAGUUUUUCUGGUGCUUGCCCUAGAAAAACUUAGCGGCGCACGGGUGAGUAACACGUAAAGAACCUGCCUCAUAGACUGGGACAACUAUUGGAAACGAUAGCUAAUACCGGAUAACAGUAUUUCUCGCAUGAGAGAUAUUUAAAAGUUGGUUAUGCUAACACUAUGAGAUGGCUUUGCGGUGCAUUAGCUAGUUGGUGGGGUAAAGGCCCACCAAGGCGACGAUGCAUAGCCGACCUGAGAGGGUGAUCGGCCACACUGGGACUGAGACACGGCCCAGACUCCUACGGGAGGCAGCAGUAGGGAAUCUUCCGCAAUGGGCGAAAGCCUGACGGAGCAACGCCGCGUGAGUGAAGAAGGAUUUCGGUUCGUAAAGCUCUGUUGUUAGGGAAGAAUGGAUAUGUAGUAACUAUACAUGUAAGAGACGGUACCUAACCAGAAAGCCACGGCUAACUACGUG